GCAUCGGUGGUCCAGUGGUAGGAUAAUUGCCUUCCAUUCGUAGCGAUAGCAAUUGGCACGGGUUCGAUUCCCGUCCGAUGCA
Molecule: non-coding RNA, 82 nt
Organism: Polyplosphaeria fusca
Lineage: Eukaryota; Fungi; Ascomycota; Dothideomycetes; Pleosporales; Tetraplosphaeriaceae
Source: the annotation of a GenBank genome assembly